This 468-nucleotide ribosomal RNA is filed under the name uncultured bacterium. Its description in RNAcentral is "partial 16S ribosomal RNA". It matches the Rfam family "Bacterial small subunit ribosomal RNA", at positions 28 to 507 of the family's 1533-position model. The record is from RNAcentral.
GACGAACGCUGGCGGCGUGCUUAACACAUGCAAGUCGAACGGAAAGGCCCUGCUUUUGUGGGGUGCUCGAGUGGCGAACGGGUGAGUAACACGUGAGUAACCUGCCCUUGACUUUGGGAUAACUUCAGGAAACUGGGGCUAAUACCGGAUAGGAGCUCCUGCUGCAUGGUGGGGGUUGGAAAGUUUCGGCGGUUGGGGAUGGACUCGCGGCUUAUCAGCUUGUUGGUGGGGUAGUGGCUUACCAAGGCUUUGACGGGUAGCCGGCCUGAGAGGGUGACCGGCCACAUUGGGACGGAGAUACGCCCCAGACUCCUACGGGAGGCAGCAGUGGGGAAUAUUGCACAAUGGGCGGAAGCCUGAUGCAGCAACGCCGCGUGCGGGAUGACGGCCUUCGGGUUGUACCCCGCUUUCGCCUGUGACGAAGCGUGAGUGACGGUAAUGGGUAAAGAAGCACCGGCUAACUACGUG